GAAAUGCGAUAAGUAGUGUGAAUUGCAGAAUUCAGUGAAUCAUCGAAUCUUUGAACGCACAUUGCGCCCCUUGGUAUUCCAUGGGGCAUGCCUGUUCGAGCGUCAUUUGUACCCUCAAGCUCUGCUUGGUGUUGGGUGUUUGUCCCCGUCUCCGCGCGUGGACUCGCCCCAAAGUGAUUGGCAGCCGGCGUACCGGUCCCGGAGCGCAGCACAUGUCGCGCAAACGAGUGCCUUGGUACGGCGGCGUCCAUAAGCCCCUCUCUCACGCUCUUGACCUCGGAUCAGGUAGAGAUACGCGCUGAACUUAAGC
RNAcentral lists this unclassified non-coding RNA (310 nucleotides) under plant metagenome. RNAcentral's name for it is "partial contains 5.8S ribosomal RNA, internal transcribed spacer 2, and large subunit ribosomal RNA". The stretch from base 1 to 105 matches the Rfam family "5.8S ribosomal RNA", at positions 50 to 154 of the family's 154-position model. The record is from RNAcentral.